AGAACCCGAUUGAUCUUUUGGGGUCUUUGGAAAUUGUAUAUGUGAAAGAUGGCAGCGUCUAGGAAUACCAACCAACGCGUCCAAGUCAGGUGAUAUGUGUCUGAGGAAUGACACCUCGCCGACGAUAACAAAACAAAACCAAAAAAUGAAAAUAACAAACUAUAGCUUCAAUGAAAGGAGGUCCCUCAAGACUGCAGCAAAUAUGGCGUUUCCUGAAAUAUAGUUAGAGGGUGGAACUGUUCAACUUUUGACUCAAACUCGUUGAAAGAAUCACCAUUAUGUUACACUACAGAAACAUUAAGGCACUGGUGCAAUACCCUCUUGUUAUUGUUGUUGUUGUUGUUGUUGGUUGGGUUUUCUAACUGUCCGUGUUUAUUAAAGAUUCAAGAGCAGAUCACCUAUUAUUCUCUCUCUCUCUCUCUCUCUCUCUCUCUCUCUCUCUCUCUCUCUCUCUCUCUCUCUCUCUCUCUCUCUCCCCCACACACACACACACACACACACACACACACACACACACACCACCGUUUAUUAAUACAAGCGUGAGGGCCAAGCCAGCUGCCCCUGCCUCCCUUGCCGCCCAGCCCCGUGCACCCCCCCCCACCCCGGCCGAGCACCCCCCCACAGUACACGCUCCCUCCCGCCGUAACUCGACCCCCUAGGAAGGCAGCUUGUCGUGUCCGCCGGCCCUGAAGAAGCUCAAUACGCUAUGAAUAAUUCCCGAACGCUUGUGUUAUGCCGGAGGGCCGUGACGCUCUGCAUAACCUUGGAGGAGCAGAGAGAGAGAGAGAGAGAGAGAGAGAGAGAGAGAGAGAGAGAGAGAGAGAGAGUAGUGGUGGUAGUGAGGAAUGCUUGGCUAGUGUGGGUGUGACUGACUGUUGGUUGUUGUGUUGUGUUGCGUUGCUUCUCUCUCUCUCUCUCUCUCUCUCUCUCUCUCUCUCUCUCUCUCUCUCUCUCUCUCUCUCUCUCUCUCUCUGUUAUGCUUAUGAAUCUUGUUGCUCUACACAUACAAGUUUUAAGCUCCCUUCAAGAAAUAUAAUAAUAAUAAUAAUAAUAAUAAUAAUAAUAAUAAUAAUAAUAAUAAUAAUAAUAAUAAUAAUAAUAAUAAUGAUAAUGGUAAUCAAUGGAGAAAACCUUAAUCAUUUAUCUCCCUCUUCUUUACGUGCAAUAAAUCUCCCCCUUUUAUGCUGCUUAAUAUUAUCUCUUUGUGUCAGUGUGUGUGUGUGUGUGUGUGUGUGUGUGUGUGUGUGUGUGUGUUAACUUCCAUCGCAGUUGUCAAGCGAGUUGCAUUUCGCGGAGAAACACGAGAAGGCGAAAGGUGGAGGGAGAGGAAAGGAGAGGAAGGGAAGAGAAAGGGAGUGCACGUGAGGAGAAAGAGAAGAACGGGAGAAUAGUUUAAAGGAGAGGAAGGAAGAGAAAGAACGCCUGAGGAGAAAGGAAAAAGAAGAAAGAGAAUAACGAGAGGAGAGGAGAGGAAGAGAAAGAGAGAGAACGUGAGGAGACAGAGAAAAGGAGAAAGAAAACAACGGGAGGUAGUUUAAAGGAGAGGAAGGAAGAGGGAGAACGCGGGGAGAUGGUAGGGAAAAGAGGAUAGGAAGGAAGGGAAGGAAGAGCACGUAGAGGGACUAUUAAGAGAAAGAAAACAACAGAAGACUAGUUUAAGAGGAGUAUUUAAGAGGAGUAGUUAAGAGGAAUAGUUAAGAGGAAUAGUUUAAGAGGAGUAGUUAAGAGGAAUAGUUUAAGAGGAGUAUUUAAGAGGAAUAGUUUAAGAGGAGUAGUUAAGAGGAAUAGUUUAAGAGGAGUAGUUAAGAGGAAUAGUUUAAGAGGAGUAGUUAAGAGGAGUAGUUAAGAGGAAUAGUUUAAAAGGAAUAUUUAAGAGGAGUAGUUAAGAGGAAUAGUUUAAGAGGAGUAGUUAAGAGGAAUAGUUUAAGAGGAGUAGUUAAGAGGAAUAGUUUAAGAGGAGUAGUUAAGAGGAAUAGUUUAAGAGGAGUAGUUAAGAGGAAUAGUUUAAGAGGAGUAGUUAAGAGGAAUAGUUAAGAGGAAUAGUUUAAGAGGAGUAGUUAAGAGGAAUAGUUUAAGAGGAGUAGUUAAGAGGAAUAGUUUAAGAGGAGUAGUUAAGAGGAAUAGUUUAAGAGGAGUAGUUAAGAGGAAUAGUUUAAGAGGAAUAGUUUAAAAGGAAUAUUUAAGAGGAGUAGUUAAGAGGAAUAGUUUAAGAGGAGUAGUUAAGAGGAGUAGUUAAGAGGAAUAGUUUAAGAGGAGUAGUUAAGAUGAAUAGUUUAAGAGGAGUAGUUAAGAGGAAUAGCUUAAGAGGAAUAUAAGAGGAUAAACAGAAGAAGAGAAAUAACAGGAUUGAAAAAGUGGAAGGGAAGGAAAACACAAUAGAUAAUGAAAGGGGAAUAAGGAGACGAACGAAAAGGAGAAUAAGGAAAACAAUAACAAAGAGAACAUGAAAAAGGACUGAGGCGUGAAAGGAAACGUGCGUAGCAAAAAAUGGGAAGGAAAAGAAAGGACAAGGUAAAGAGGAGGAAUGAGAAAGGAAGAGAAAGGAAAGAGGAAGAAGAUGAGAAGUACGAGAGAAAGAAGAAAGGGUGUAAGGGGAAGAGAGAAAGGAAAUGGAAGGAUAGAAGUAAGGAAGAAAGGAAAAGGAGAGGGGAGGAAAAGACUAGAAAAUGGAGGAGAGAGAAAAAAGAAAGAAAGGUGAGAGGGAGGAAAGGAAAGGGGAGGUAAAGAGUAGGAAAGGAAGGGGGAGGUAAGGAGGAGGAAAGGAAGGAAAAGGGACAUAAAAGGAAGAAAAGAGAGAUGAUAAAGGCGGAGGAAAGAAAGGAAAAAGGAGAUAAGGAGGAGGGAAGGAAGAAGAGGGGGAGGUAAAGAGUAAAGAGAGGGGGAGAGGUAAGAGAAGAAAGGAGAGAGGGAGGUAAAGAGAAAGGAGAGGGGAGCAAAGGGGAACUAAGCCAAGGGGAGAAGUCGGUUGCCCUAAUUAUGAAACUCUGGGUUCAAAACGUGAGGUAAUGAAGAGAGGGAGGCGGGGUGCUAUUCUGGGCCCUGUGUGUGUGUGUGUGUGUGUGUGUGUGUGUGUGUGUGUGUGUGUGUGUGUGUUGAUAAUGACACUGUGUAGUCACCUUCCACCUUCACUCAAGACACCUUCACCCACGCAGCCACACCUAUGUACACACACACACACACACACACACACACACACACACACACACACACACACACACAGCAACACGUCAC
Molecule: long non-coding RNA, 3231 nt
Organism: Eriocheir sinensis (Chinese mitten crab)
Lineage: Eukaryota; Metazoa; Arthropoda; Malacostraca; Decapoda; Varunidae
Exons: 3
Source: RefSeq, a predicted model, not a curated record